Molecule: ribosomal RNA, 468 nt
Filed under: uncultured bacterium
Lineage: Bacteria
Description: partial 16S ribosomal RNA
Rfam family: Bacterial small subunit ribosomal RNA
Source: RNAcentral
GACGAACGCUGGCGGCGUGCUUAACACAUGCAAGUCGAACGGAAAGGCCCUGCUUUUGUGGGGUGCUCGAGUGGCGAACGGGUGAGUAACACGUGAGUAACCUGCCCUUGACUUUGGGAUAACUUCAGGAAACUGGGGCUAAUACCGGAUAGGAGCUCUUGCUGCAUGGUGGGGGUUGGAAAGUUUCGGCGGUUGGGGAUGGACUCGCGGCUUAUCAGCUUGUUGGUGAGGUAGUGGCUUACCAAGGCUUUGAAGGGUAGCCGGCCUGAGAGGGUGACCGGCCACAUUGGGACUGCGAUACGGCGCAGACUCCUACGGGACGCAGCAGUGGGGAGUCUUGCACAAUGGGCGGAAGCCUGAUGCAGCAGCGCCGCGUGCGGGAUGACGGCCUUCGGGUUGUAAACCGCUUUCGCAGGUGACGAAGCGUGAGUGACGGUAAUGGGUAAAGAAGCACCGGCUAACUACGUG